AGUUUUCACUUUCAGGAAGUGUUGAGGUCCACACCCAACUCAGGCUCUCCAUCCCUGAGGGGAAGCACGUGGCUGUCCCCUUUCGGUGGAUUUCAAGCAUCCCUGGCGCAGGUGCAGCGGCCUUGCCCUGGGCUCACCAGCAGCCUUUGGGGUCCCAGUUGGCAGGCAGCCCUGUUCCCUGGGGGUCCCUGCCGGAGCUGCUGGUCCCUGGAGCUACCCCGUGGUACGGUUCAUCUGGACCAGCCUCUGAUGUGGGGAAGACCAAGCGAGAGCACACUGCGGAGAGCAAUGUGAUAAUUCAAUAUUUUGCUGUUGAUGUGUUUCG
RNAcentral lists this long non-coding RNA (325 nucleotides) under Homo sapiens (human). RNAcentral's name for it is "HSALNT0324323". The record is from RNAcentral. Lineage: Eukaryota; Metazoa; Chordata; Mammalia; Primates; Hominidae.